UACGUAGGGGCCUAGCGUUGUCCGGAAUUAUUGGGCGUAAAGAGCUCGUAGGCGGUCUGUUACGUCUGCUGUGAAAACCCAGGGCUUAACCCUGGGCUUGCAGUGGAUACGGGCAGACUAGAGGCAGGUAGGGGAGAAUGGAAUUCCCGGUGUAGCGGUGAAAUGCGUAGAGAUGUGGAGGAACACCAGUGGCGAAGGCGACUCUUUGGUCUGUAACUGACGCUGAGGCGCGAAAGCGUGGGGAGCAAACAGG
This 253-nucleotide ribosomal RNA is filed under the name uncultured bacterium. RNAcentral's name for it is "partial 16S ribosomal RNA". It matches the Rfam family "Bacterial small subunit ribosomal RNA", at positions 524 to 776 of the family's 1533-position model. The record is from RNAcentral.